CCCUCCCCCCCAAAAGAUUACCCGCUGAACUUAAGCAUAUCAAUAAGCGGAGGAAAAGAAACCAACAGGGAUUGCCUCAGUAACGGCGAGUGAAGCGGCAAAAGCUCAAGUUUGAAACCCCGAUUGUGCCAAGGGAGAGGACAGGACCAAGUCGCUUGGAACAGCGCGCCACAGAGGGUGACAGCCCCGCUCCGACCCGUCCCCCACACCGACUCAAGCUGUUUGGGAAUGCAGCUCAAAUGGUGGUAAAAUCCAUCCAAAGCUAAAUACCGGCGAGACACCGAUAGCAAACAAGUACAGUGAUGGAAAGAUGAAAAGCACUUUGAAAAGAGAGUGAAACAGUAUGUGAAAUUGUUGAGAGGGAAGGGAAUC
Molecule: ribosomal RNA, 372 nt
Filed under: [Candida] sp.
Lineage: Eukaryota; Fungi; Ascomycota; Saccharomycetes; Saccharomycetales
Description: LSU rRNA
Rfam family: Eukaryotic large subunit ribosomal RNA
Source: RNAcentral